RNAcentral lists this ribosomal RNA (458 nucleotides) under uncultured bacterium. RNAcentral's name for it is "partial 16S ribosomal RNA". It matches the Rfam family "Bacterial small subunit ribosomal RNA", at positions 338 to 795 of the family's 1533-position model. The record is from RNAcentral.
CCUACGGGAGGCAGCAGUGGGGAAUAUUGCACAAUGGGGGAAACCCUGAUGCAGCGACGCCGCGUGAGUGAAGAAGUAUCUCGGUAUGUAAAGCUCUAUCAGCAGGGAAGAAAUAGCGACCUUUGGGUCGCCAGACGGUACCUGAUUAAGAAGCCCCGGCUAACUCCGUGCCAGCAGCCGCGGUAAUACGGAGGGGGCAAGCGUUAUCCGGAUUUACUGGGUGUAAAGGGAGCGUAGACGGCUGCGCAAGUCUGAGGUGAAAGGCCGGGGCUUAACCCCGGAACUGCUUUGGAAACUGUGCGGCUAGAGUACAGGAGAGGUAAGUGGAAUUCCUGGUGUAGCGGUGAAAUGCGUAGAUAUUAGGAGGAACACCAGUGGCGAAGGCGGCUUACUGGACUGUAACUGACGUUGAGGCUCGAAAGCGUGGGGAGCAAACAGGAUUAGAUACCCGUGUAGUC